UAGGGAAUCUUCCACAAUGGACGCAAGUCUGAUGGAGCAACGCCGCGUGAGUGAAGAAGGUCUUCGGAUCGUAAAACUCUGUUGUUAGAGAAGAACACGAGUGAGAGUAACUGUUCAUUCGAUGACGGUAUCUAACCAGCAAGUCACGGCUAACUACGUGCCAGCAGCCGCGGUAAUACGUAGGUGGCAAGCGUUGUCCGGAUUUAUUGGGCGUAAAGGGAACGCAGGCGGUCUUUUAAGUCUGAUGUGAAAGCCUUCGGCUUAACCGGAGUAGUGCAUUGGAAACUGGAAGACUUGAGUGCAGAAGAGGAGAGUGGAACUCCAUGUGUAGCGGUGAAAUGCGUAGAUAUAUGGAAGAACACCAGUGGCGAAAGCGGCUCUCUGGUCUGUAACUGACGCUGAGGUUCGAAAGCGUGGGUAGCAAACAGGAUUAGAUACCCUGGUAGUCCAUGCCGUAAACGAUGAGUGCUAGGUGUUGGAGGGUUUCCGCCCUUCAGUGCCGGAGCUAACGCAUUAAGCACUCCGCCUGGGGAGUACGACCGCAAGGUUG
RNAcentral lists this ribosomal RNA (550 nucleotides) under uncultured bacterium. RNAcentral describes it as "bacterial SSU rRNA". It matches the Rfam family "Bacterial small subunit ribosomal RNA", at positions 355 to 896 of the family's 1533-position model. The record is from RNAcentral.